This 2118-nucleotide unclassified non-coding RNA is filed under the name Neodiprion pinetum (white pine sawfly). RNAcentral's name for it is "qRFP-like peptide receptor, transcript variant X5". The record is from RNAcentral. Lineage: Eukaryota; Metazoa; Arthropoda; Insecta; Hymenoptera; Diprionidae.
ACCAAUCAGUGCUUCGGUUUAGUAUAACGAUAACGAAAAUAUUCUAUUUCGAAUAAAAAAUAUAAAUUAAAAAAUUUGAUAUUCUAAAUCUAAAAAUUAAAAGUAGAACUUUAAUUUUCACACACAAAUAUUGUACACGUAUAAGACGGAAUGAGGUAGACGUUGAGUACGCAAAAGUGAGAAAAAAUAAAAUAAAAAAAUUCUCGGCUACGCCAACGUGUUUUAUUUUAUUGAAAGUUGAGCAUUGACAGGAAAGAAGAAAAAAGUAUUUUCGUCUAUUUUCGACCGUGAUCCCACAAUUUUCUUGCGAAAAUACGAUCGGACGUUAACAAAACUCUAAAUAAAUAUGAUUUGACGAGAAUACAAAAAUUCUAAUAAAAACAAACAAGCUGAUAAAAAAAUUAAUAGAAAAAAUCGGAAAAAAACUCUGUUUCGUUUGUUUUUCACUCUGUUAUUCUUCUCUCAUUCUACGUACUCUUUAUUCGUAACAAUAACGUCGUAUAAACGAAAACAGUGAGGGAUAACAAACAAAUAAAACAAGAGGAAAUAAAUUACCCACAAACGUUACGUACGUACGAAUGUUUGAAAAAUCAGUGAAAAUCCUGAAGUGAAAAAAAAUGACGGAGGACUCGGUGAUUGUCGAUCGUGCCAAUGUCGCGUCGAUGUUCGUUAAAAAUGGAACGUUCAACGAUACGAUCAACGAAACUGACUACGGUGAUUACGACGUUGAUUUUUCCUUCAACUAUUUCGACUGGGUCGAACUGGCACCUGCCCUCGUCGUCUACAGCCUCACCUUCUUCCUCGGCUUGGCCGGCAACGUGCUGAUCAUCGCAUCGACUCUUUGCCCUCGGCUGAGACCGUUGCCGGCAACACCGACAAACGUUUUCCUCGGCGGUUUAGCGACGGCUGAUUUGCUCCUGAUAAUCUUCUGCAUACCGGUGAAGAUUGCCAAGCUCUUCUCCUACACCUGGAGCAUGGGAAUGUUUCUCUGCAAAUCCGUUCACUACAUGCAGAGCGUUUCGGCCAUUUGCUCCGUCUUAACGUUGACCGCGAUGUCGAUAGAGAGAUACUACGCGAUCGUUCAUCCGAUGAGGGCUCAGUACACGUGCACGAUAAGUCAGGCCCGAAGAAUCGUAAUCAUGACUUGGAUAACGUCGUUUUUACUGGCGAUACCGAUACUCUUUACGCAGCGGCACGAAUCCGUCGGUCCCGGAUACCUCGGGGCGUUUUGGUGCGUACGUGACAGGAGAUCGGUAACGCUUUGGCAAAUUCACGAAGUGUACAUGCUACUGCUGGUCCUCGUUGUCCCCCUCAUUGUCAUGGCCUUCUGCUACACGGCUAUAUGCUGGGAGAUAUGGAGGGUAAUGAAGCGGCGUUACCACAUGACGUCCAGGCACGCACUCAGUCCCAGCCGUAAUUCGGCCACUGAAUGCAUUGCCUUGAAUGAUCGGCACCCCGGAAGUGGUAAAAACGGAAGACGGGGACGCCGGGAAGACGUCAGAACGGAGGAAGAAUCGCGGACCAUGAAACAGGUUGUCAAGAUGCUUGUGGCCGUAGUUGUUCUAUUUGGAAUUUGCUGGGGUCCGAUGUUGGUCGACAAUGUUUUGACAGCCUACGGGAUUUUGCCCUGGGCUAAAAUCGGCCCCUACAGACACAGCAACGUCACCUUUCAGCUUAUGGCUUACUUCAACAGCUGCAUAAAUCCCAUCAUCUACGGAUUUAUGUCAAAGCACUUCAGGCAGAGUUUCCUCUCGGCGGCCUGCGGAAGCUGCUGCUGUUGUCCGCGGCGGAAUUACCGUUCGUCAGGUCGAGUCAAGAGGCAUCCGAGCCUGAGCCAGACAAGGACGACGAGCGUUCGGUGGCGUCAGCUCUCAAUCAGCAUGAUGAAGUUUCCUUUGACGAACGCCUCCAAAACCCGUACGGUUGUCGUGUAGAGCACAAAUGUAUAAUGUUACAUUAUCCUAUACCGAACAAUGCGAGAGAGAUAUUUAUUAUAAUAGGUGGACCUGAUUUUACCUGAUCCCUUGGAACUCGUCGAGGGAUAUAAUAAUAAGUUAAGAUGAAAAGUACUGCUGCAUCGUAAUAUAUUAUAUGUAUUCACUGAAAUUAAGAUUUAAU